RNAcentral lists this long non-coding RNA (355 nucleotides) under Vulpes vulpes (red fox). RNAcentral describes it as "lncRNA (ENSVVUG00000010138.1)". The record is from RNAcentral. Lineage: Eukaryota; Metazoa; Chordata; Mammalia; Carnivora; Canidae.
GAAACUCAGAUUUCCUUUGGUGGUAACCACUUGGCUGCACAAAACUACUGCAUGGCCAUGAAAGAUUACAAUGUAUAGGAAGCUUUAUAUAUUCUUUGAAGAAGGUAUCUUACUUGCUUGCCAAGGCAAGUCCUCUUAUAAAAGGGAGGCUUUAAAAGUCUGUCAAAGGAUACUACCAAGAGGGUGGAUUCAUUAUUUUAAAGCCCUUUCAGGGUCCUCCUACCAUUGCAUUCUUCAUGAACUUCUUUGGAUGGUGACUUGGAAGGUGCUGCUUCUUACUGGCCAAGUCUUAGAAUGUUCCUGCCCAGAAAAUGCCCACUUUGGAACAGAUAUAAUAUGUAAUACUCUGAUAUAG